UACGGGGGGGGCAAGCGCUGUUCGGAAUUACUGGGCGUAAAGGGGACGUAGGCGGCCAACUAAGUCCGACGUGAAAUCCCAAGGCUUAACCUUGGAACUGCGUCGGAUACUGGAUGGCUUGAAUUCGGGAGAGGGAUGCAGAAUUCCAGGUGUAGCGGUGAAAUGCGUAGAUAUCUGGAGGAAUACCGGUGGCGAAGGCGGCAUCCUGGACCGACAUUGACGCUGAAAGCCGAAAGCUAGGGGAGCAAACGGG
RNAcentral lists this ribosomal RNA (253 nucleotides) under uncultured bacterium. Its description in RNAcentral is "partial 16S ribosomal RNA". It matches the Rfam family "Bacterial small subunit ribosomal RNA", at positions 524 to 776 of the family's 1533-position model. The record is from RNAcentral.